Non-coding RNA from Acanthosepion pharaonis, 108 nucleotides. Lineage: Eukaryota; Metazoa; Mollusca; Cephalopoda; Sepiida; Sepiidae. The record is from the annotation of a GenBank genome assembly.
UUACGACCAUAUCACAUUGAAACACCAGUUCCCAUACGAUCACUGAAGUUAAGCAAUAUUAAGCCUGGUUAAUACCUAGAUGGGUGACUGCUUGGGAAUACUAGGUGC